RNAcentral lists this long non-coding RNA (372 nucleotides) under Elaeis guineensis (African oil palm). RNAcentral describes it as "long non-coding RNA (EGUI_LNC019950)". The record is from RNAcentral. Lineage: Eukaryota; Viridiplantae; Streptophyta; Magnoliopsida; Arecales; Arecaceae.
GUUGGGAAAUGUGUCCCAAAAAGUCAAUCGUCAAGCUGUUGACGGUUGAGCAACCAAGUAUUGUAAUUGAUUUGUUAAUAAAUAAAAUAUAUUUGGCAUCUUCAUCAUAAGCUUUCAUCUUCUGAUGAACUCCGUUGUUAUGAUGAAGUCCUUAGGACUAUUUAGAUUCGAUAAAGAGAGGAUUUAUCGAUUAUUCCUUAAAACUGUUCACGACCAAAUGAUAGGCUGUUAAUAAGGACGACAGCUUCUAUCGAGCAUAGGUCGCUGUAGGCCAUAUGGGUUGGUUGUCCUCUUAACCAAGGAGUGUGGAGACACUGGUAUGGCAUACAGGUAAGAUGUAAGGGUACAUCAUCAUUGAACGUGACCAACUCC